This is a long non-coding RNA of Poecile atricapillus (Black-capped chickadee), 1558 nucleotides long. RefSeq lists it as uncharacterized. NCBI's taxonomy places the organism in Eukaryota, Metazoa, Chordata, Aves, Passeriformes, Paridae. The transcript has 3 exons. The record is from RefSeq and is a predicted model, not a curated record.
UGCGGAAUACUCGGGCAGCGCUGUGUUCAUUCCAGAAACGCUGGCACCAGGAACACCUGGAGGAACAGGAGGAGCACGUCUGCAGGAGCUAAUGCCAGGAGGGGUAAUUAAUGCCUCCCCCAGACCUUUAGAGGCGCAGGCACAGAAUCACUUGGAAUUCCAAACUCUGCACAUUUGUGUCUGCCUUGGGAGAGCGACAGCGCGGCCGUGGGGGGAGAGCUGGUCAGGCUGGGCUCUCCUCACUCAGCUGGAAUUCCCUGGGAAGCCACGAACGGCUGCUCCCUUCGGUGGGAUGUCAAUGAACGAGUGUCAAGCUGGCCAUUUGCAAGGGAUGAGGUGCAAAUUGGGCAGAAAAUUCCCGAUUUAACCUUCAGGCAGGCUCUGAGCCCCUCCUCGGGAUCCUCUGCAUGGGGCAGGAGCGGCAUCUGCGCUGCCCAGCUCCCUUCGAUCUGCCUAAACCUUCCACAAAGCAGUUCUUCAACAUCUGAAGAAGACUCCAAAAAGAAAAUGCAAAUAAACAGAGCUUUUUUUUUUCCAAGGCGUUGAAGGGGAUUAGUGAGAGUCCCACCCUCUCUGCUCCCAUUUGCAUUCGGUGUUCCGACGGCACUUGACUCUGAAAUCAUUCCAGUAAAGCGGAAAAUUAAUAUUCUAAUAUGCCUGCUUCUCCAGCAGCUACAAAUAACCAAGCAGUCUCUGCCGCUCAUGUGCAGCACACAGACGGAAUUUUGGCAGCUGAGAGCAUCCCCGGCUGGCAGAGCCCACAGCCCUGCGUGUGCCACACGUGGGAAGCUACAAAUGCAUCCCUGGCUUUCCCAUUCUCCUCCUUUUCUCACCCAAACAGGCUCUGCGUGCUCCACCUGCUUAUUAGCAGCAGGGAUUUGCUGCUAAUGCUCUUUUACAUCUCCAUCAUAACAUUAAGAAAUACUGAAAUCUCUCUAUUUAAGUUGCUCUGGUGAAGUACAGUACAUUAAUCAUAAAUAAUUUAUACGAAUCUGUCCUGUUUUUGGGCACAUCUCAGCGGUGUCUUGGUAACAUCCUUUCCACGGAACCUUGAUCUGUGUUCUCUUAUAAAAGCAAAAAUAGAGGGGAAAACAAAGAGCGCAAAGUAGGUGAGUGUUCCUUCCCCGUCUCCCGCUGGAUGGGAACAAUCCCGGGAGGUUUCCCCGAGGCAGGAUUUCAGGAUUUUCAGGGAUCGCUGCCGGUGGAGCCCCCGGGCCGUGUCCGGAGCGCUGCCCUGGGAGCUGCGGGGUUCCUGGAGCUCCCAGGAGCGGCGGCAGCGAACGCGUCCCCCGGAGCAUCUGGGAACAGCCAGGUGUCAUUGUCAUUUAUUUCCUGCCAUUUGAUCCCUGCACUGCAUUGUUUACAAUUCACUCGGGCUGCUCGUGCCGCUCUGCUGCCCUCAGGAAUCCUUCGGCCGGGCCAUGGAAGAGCACUGUGAUCCUUCAUGUGGAUUUUCCUGGAUUGGCAACACCCAUUGUCUUGGUGUGACUCGUUAAACCCCUCACAGCAGGGGCGUGGACAGCCUUUUAUCUCCCAUCGUGGCAGGGCGCAGGCAUCA